This 553-nucleotide ribosomal RNA is filed under the name uncultured Nitrososphaerota archaeon. Its description in RNAcentral is "bacterial SSU rRNA". It matches the Rfam family "Archaeal small subunit ribosomal RNA", at positions 325 to 879 of the family's 1478-position model. The record is from RNAcentral. Lineage: Archaea; Thermoproteati; Nitrososphaerota.
ACGGGGUGCAGCAGGCGCGAAACCUUUGCAAUGUGCGCAAGCACGACAAGGUUAAUCCGAGUGUUUCCUGCUAAAGGAAUCUUUUGUUAGUCGUAAAACCACUGAUGAAUAAGGGGUGGGCAAGUUCUGGUGUCAGCCGCCGCGGUAAAACCAGCACCUCAAGUGGUCAGGAGGAUUAUUGGGCCUAAAGCAUCCGUAGCCGGCUCUGCAAGUUUUCGGUUAAAUCCAUUUGCUUAACAAAUGGGCUCCCGAAAAUACUACAUAGCUAGGGAGUGGGAGAGGUAGACGGUAUUCGGUAGGAAGGGGUAAAAUCCUUUGAUCUAUUGAGGACCACCUAUGGCGAAGGCAGUCUACCAGAACACGUUCGACGGUGAGGGAUGAAAGCUGGGGGAGCAAACCGGAUUAGAUACCCGGGUAGUCCCAGCUGUAAACGAUGCAGACUCGGUGAUGCGCUGGCUUGUGGCCAGUGCAGUGCCGCAGGGAAGCCGUUAAGUUUGCCGCCUGGGAAGUACGUACGCAAGUAUGAAACUUAAAGGAAUUGGCGGGGGAGCAC